RNAcentral lists this ribosomal RNA (449 nucleotides) under uncultured bacterium. RNAcentral's name for it is "partial 16S ribosomal RNA". It matches the Rfam family "Bacterial small subunit ribosomal RNA", at positions 29 to 523 of the family's 1533-position model. The record is from RNAcentral.
AACGAACGCUGGCGGCAGGCCUAACACAUGCAAGUCGAGCGGAUCCUUCGGGAUUAGCGGCGGACGGGUGAGUAACGCGUGGGAAUAUGCCCUUCUCUACGGAAUAGCCUCGGGAAACUGAGAGUAAUACCGUAUACGCCCUUUGGGGGAAAGAUUUAUCGGAGAAGGAUUAGCCCGCGUUGGAUUAGGUAGUUGGUGGGGUAAUGGCCUACCAAGCCUACGAUCCAUAGCUGGUUUGAGAGGAUGAUCAGCCACACUGGGACUGAGACACGGCCCAGACUCCUACGGGAGGCAGCAGUGGGGAAUCUUAGACAAUGGGGGCAACCCUGAUCUAGCCAUGCCGCGUGAGUGAUGAAGGCCUUAGGGUUGUAAAGCUCUUUCAGCUGGGAAGAUAAUGACGGUACCAGCAGAAGAAGCCCCGGCUAACUCCGUGCCAGCAGCCGCCGUAA